UAGAGGGAUGAAAUCAUGCUCCUCCGGCACGGGGUCUGGGAGCCAGCCAGGAGGGCUGGGCGGGCCGGGGCAGCACCAGACCCUCGGCCCUGCUUCCCCACAGGCCAGCCAUGAUGCGUGGGGAAUCUGAGUCUGGCCCUCAGCACAGCCAUGUGGAAGAAGAGGCAUGCAGGGAGAGAGCACCAUAAACAAGCCGGGGCUGGCGGGAGUGUGCCGCUGACCGAGGGGAGUGUGCUGCAGGUCUCUGGCAUUGCCCUUCCCUGACUCCUGAGGGUUCCAUGAAGCAGGGCCUUGCAGGGUGUCCCAGCCAGAUGUCAGACCUGGGGGCAGGUGAGGGGCGGUCACUGGAUGCACAGGAGCACCACGGAGGCAUGGGGUAGGGAGGGACUUGUGAGGACACCGCUCUGUGGAAAUCUCAUUUGCUUAGACUGCAACCUGGCCCUCUGGCUCAGGUGACCUGGCCUCUUGCUGGCCAGGCCGCCGUGAUCUUCAGGAGUAGAGGUCUGACACGCACCUGGAAGGCGGACUCUCUUGGCGGUGGCUCUGGACUUUGGGCCCUCCGGGUGCAAUCUGUCUUCCGUCCAGGGUGCCUGAACUCACUCUCCCUGGCAGUGCUCCGGGCAGGACAGAUGUGGCCGCCUCUCCUGCUGCCCAGAUCACAUUCCUGGCCCUGGAUUAAAGCAGUUUUGCAACAACAGAGUGGCCUGUACUCCAACCACCCUUGCACAGCCCAGAGGAGGACAUCUGGUAACAGGGCUGCCUUCUCCUGUGGAAUGGCCGACGCAGUCUGAGACGUUCCCUGGGCAACGUCUCCACAGCACAUGCCUGGACUUUGAAGAUUCUGGGGAGUUUGAGACACUGCAGAAGAUAAGACCGCCCAUCUCCUUCUCCUCCAGCUCUGUCCUGCUUCCAUGUGGGGCUCUGAGGGUUGGAAAGGGGUAGGGAGGGCAGUGUGGGCAGAAAAGCCAGCAGCCCCGCUCUGGAGAAUUUAUGUACUUUGGCAGGAGGGGAAAACAUGAGGGGAGUUCCUGCCUGCUGCCAACCCUUAAGUGCCACUGCUCUGGGGACCCUGCACUGGCUGGGAGGAGGUCAGCGGAGGGGCGGCACCAGGCCGUGAGAGAGGCCAGGCCGGCACUCCGGAGCCCUGCUGGGUGUGUGGCUGUGCCCGAGGGAGCCACACCUGUGGCAGGGGCUCUGGUCCCUCAGGCUCUGCACUGACUCCAAGAAAACUUUGCUCACCUUUCCUGGCUUCUCUCUCUGAUUUCUCUGACUGCACAGCCCCAGGAUCCUGCUUCUUCUAGAAGUGUUUCCUGUGUGGAUGAGGGUUACGCGCUCCAGCACAGAUAGCCUUGACCCAUGGCGGGCUCUGCCCCACGCCUGAGCUCCGCACAGGGGUCUGUGGGUGGUGGGGUGUGGGCUGACUGCCUCCCUUCUGGCUCUUUUGGUCCAGGACCCAGCAAGGGAAUGCAGAGGGAGAACUGUCCUCCCAGACUCCCUCCAGGGAGAUUCCCCAGAGCAGGCCUGGGGCCCAGACUCCCUCCAGGGAGACUCCCCAGAGCAGGACUGGGGCUCCGGGGGGAGGGCAGCGUGUGUGCAGUGCCAGGUCGGUGCAGGCCUCCACCAAAGAGUGCUUUCACCCCAGCCCGCCCCUCUGAGCCCCACCUUCUCGCUCCUGGGCCCCCAGAUGGCUGGUUGGGGAGUGAGUCUUGGGCCAGACUCCCUAGAUGACCUGUGAGUGCUGCAGUGUGUGGCCUCAACCUCCGACCUCCAUCCUGUCCUGGUGAUCAGGCAGCCUUGCUGUCCUUUCUCCAUGGACCGUCUGGGGUGCAUCCCUGGGCGCAGGCCAGGGCUUUGUCCAGCAGAGGGACUGGACGCGGCCUGUGGCCCACCUGAGGAGGCUGUGGCUCAGAGACAUCCACCGUCAUAGAUUAGAAGCUUGUUUUUGCUGGUCCGAAAUGGAAUGGUUCUCUUGUAGACUUCAGAAAGCCUGGGAAAUAGAGAAACCAAACACUUGGACCCCUCCAGGCAGCCUCUGCUCCCCUCCCCCCUCCCGCCCCCUCCCUCUCCCUCCCACGAAU
Long non-coding RNA from Dipodomys spectabilis (banner-tailed kangaroo rat), 2078 nucleotides. RefSeq lists it as uncharacterized. The record is from RefSeq and is a predicted model, not a curated record. Lineage: Eukaryota; Metazoa; Chordata; Mammalia; Rodentia; Heteromyidae. The transcript has 3 exons.